UUUAUGGAGAGUUUGAUCCUGGCUCAGGAUGAACGCUGGCGGCGUGCCUAAUACAUGCAAGUCGAGCGAACGGACGAGAAGCUUGCUUCUCUGAUGUUAGCGGCGGACGGGUGAGUAACACGUGGAUAACCUACCUAUAAGACUGGGAUAACUUCGGGAAACCGGAGCUAAUACCGGAUAAUAUUUUGAACCGCAUGGUUCAAAAGUGAAAGACGGUCUUGCUGUCACUUAUAGAUGGAUUCGCGCUGCAUUAGCUAGUUGGUAAGGUAAUGGCUUACCAAGGCAACGAUGCAUAGCCGACCUGAGAGGGUGAUCGGCCACACUGGAACUGAGACACGGUCCAGACUCCUACGGGAGGCAGCAGUAGGGAAUCUUCCGCAAUGGGCGAAAGCCUGACGGAGCAACGCCGCGUGAGUGAUGAAGGUCUUCGGAUCGUAAAACUCUGUUAUUAGGGAAGAACAUAUGUGUAAGUAACUGUGCACAUCUUGACGGUACCUAAUCAGAAAGCCACGGCUAACUACGUGCCAGCAGCCGCGGUAAUACGUAGGUGGCAAGCGUUAUCCGGAAUUAUUGGGCGUAAAGCGCGCGUAGGCGGUUUUUUAAGUCUGAUGUGAAAGCCCACGGCUCAACCGUGGAGGGUCAUUGGAAACUGGAAAACUUGAGUGCAGAAGAGGAAAGUGGAAUUCCAUGUGUAGCGGUGAAAUGCGCAGAGAUAUGGAGGAACACCAGUGGCGAAGGCGACUUUCUGGUCUGUAACUGACGCUGAUGUGCGAAAGCGUGGGGAUCAAACAGGAUUAGAUACCCUGGUAGUCCACGCCGUAAACGAUGAGUGCUAAGUGUUAGGGGGUUUCCGCCCCUUAGUGCUGCAGCUAACGCAUUAAGCACUCCGCCUGGGGAGUACGACCGCAAGGUUGAAACUCAAAGGAAUUGACGGGGACCCGCACAAGCGGUGGAGCAUGUGGUUUAAUUCGAAGCAACGCGAAGAACCUUACCAAAUCUUGACAUCCUUUGACAACUCUAGAGAUAGAGCUUUCCCCUUCGGGGGACAAAGUGACAGGUGGUGCAUGGUUGUCGUCAGCUCGUGUCGUGAGAUGUUGGGUUAAGUCCCGCAACGAGCGCAACCCUUAAGCUUAGUUGCCAUCAUUAAGUUGGGCACUCUAAGUUGACUGCCGGUGACAAACCGGAGGAAGGUGGGGAUGACGUCAAAUCAUCAUGCCCCUUAUGAUUUGGGCUACACACGUGCUACAAUGGACAAUACAAAGGGCAGCGAAACCGCGAGGUCAAGCAAAUCCCAUAAAGUUGUUCUCAGUUCGGAUUGUAGUCUGCAACUCGACUACAUGAAGCUGGAAUCGCUAGUAAUCGUAGAUCAGCAUGCUACGGUGAAUACGUUCCCGGGUCUUGUACACACCGCCCGUCACACCACGAGAGUUUGUAACACCCGAAGCCGGUGGAGUAACCUUUUAGGAGCUAGCCGUCGAAGGUGGGACAAAUGAUUGGGGUGAAGUCGUAACAAGGUAGCCGUAUCGGAAGGUGCGGCUGGAUCACCUCCUUUCU
This 1554-nucleotide ribosomal RNA is filed under the name Staphylococcus aureus. RNAcentral describes it as "16S ribosomal RNA". It matches the Rfam family "Bacterial small subunit ribosomal RNA". Lineage: Bacteria; Bacillati; Bacillota; Bacilli; Caryophanales; Staphylococcaceae. The record is from RNAcentral.